AACCGAUCCAGCUACAAACACUCCACAGGUUGGCCAGGCUUCUCUUGAUUCGGAGAUGCAAACUGUGUUAGCUCUACGCGAAUAUUUGUGUGGUCUGCAAUCUGACACCGGCAGGACCAUAAUAGAUUAUGGUGAAUAUUCAGCGACAUGUUCUGAUAUAUAUGAAUCUUUUGCCGAUGGGAAGUGUCUCGACAAUGUAUUCAUGCAGUGUUUCAUCCAAUGUGUUAUUGAUGAUGCAAAAAAAUCAGCAGACUUCCAUGAGUUCGAACAGUUUGAUUCUUGAUGUUAAUGUUGGGUCACUACUCAACUUUGAGGAACAGGAACGACACAGUCGCAACCCUCAACCUUUUGAUGAAUCUGUACUACACACACUUCUAGACAAUUCAUUGCCUGAGACAGAUGAAUUGGACCAAUGCAAAGCGAUCAUGGUCCCCAUGGUAAGCAGGGGGCAUUGGACAUUGUAUGUUGUCAACAAGGUCAAGAAGUGCAUUCAUAUUUUAGAUUCCAACCCAUAUGGGCCAACACUUGGUGGAACUACAUGGAAGGACUAUCAUUUUGCACAUUUGGGCUCAAGUGGCAGAAAGUUACCAUGGGCUAAGGUUAUUAUGAGUAGAUUAAACAAAGCAAUACAACAUGUACGGCCCAGGACAUGCUUUUUCCAAGUUUGGUAACUUCACAAUUGACUUGUGCCCAAAUUGUCCUAACAUGGCAGCAGGAUCCAAUGACUGUGGGUUUUAUGUUAUGGGUUACAUUCUAUUUUAUCAAUGCGACGAAGGAUCUUUGCGGUCAGACAUAGAAGCACUAUGUACAAAUUUACCAGUUAUUUCUAUAGUUGGCACAAGGCAACAUAUGGAACAGAGGUAUAACUAACUCAAUGUUUUUGUUGUUCAGGGCAACACUAGUGAGAUACGGUCUCUUGCGCUGCAUUAUAUCACAUUCCACCCGAAGAACAAAGCAUUAUCGCUGCUCGAAGACAUCCAAAGAUUCAAGGUCUAAAGGAUGUAGUUUAGUUUGGACAUGUAAUAAAUUUUGUAUACAAUGGUUCCCUAAACUUCAGAUCAGUCAUGUGUGUAUAAUAUGGGCAAAGACCGUAGACGUUUCUUAGUUUAUGUCAAUGACAACUUUGGGGAUCAGCUAACCUCUAAACUGGAAUA
Molecule: long non-coding RNA, 1154 nt
Organism: Zea mays
Lineage: Eukaryota; Viridiplantae; Streptophyta; Magnoliopsida; Poales; Poaceae
Exons: 4
Source: RefSeq, a predicted model, not a curated record